This 466-nucleotide ribosomal RNA is filed under the name uncultured bacterium. Its description in RNAcentral is "partial 16S ribosomal RNA". It matches the Rfam family "Bacterial small subunit ribosomal RNA", at positions 28 to 507 of the family's 1533-position model. The record is from RNAcentral.
GAUGAACGCUGGCGGCGUGCUUAACACAUGCAAGUCGAACGGAAAGGCCCAAGCUUGCUUGGGUACUCGAGUGGCGAACGGGUGAUUAACACGUGGGUGAUCUGCCCUGCACUUCGGGAUAAGCCUGGGAAACUGGGUCUAAUACCGGAUAGGACCACAUUUUGGAUGGUGUGGUGGAAAGUUUUUCGGUGUGGGAUGAGCUCGCGGCCUAUCAGCUUGUUGGUGGGGUAAUGGCCUACCAAGGCGUCGACGGGUAGCCGGCCUGAGAGGGUGUACGGCCACAUUGGGACUGAGAUACGGCCCAGACUCCUACGGGAGGCAGCAGUGGGGAAUAUUGCACAAUGGGCGCAAGCCUGAUGCAGCGACGCCGCGUGGGGGAUGACGGCCUUCGGGUUGUAAACUCCUUUCGCUAGGGACGAAGCGUUAUGUGACGGUACCUGGAGAAGAAGCACCGGCUAACUACGUG